AACGCACAUUGCGCCCUCUGGUAUUCCAGAGGGCAUGCCUGUUCGAGCGUCAUUUCACUCUCAAGCUCUGCUUGGUCUUGGGCGCCGUCGCUGGACGCGCCCGCAACGCAUUGGCAGGACUGCCCAACUCGUGCGCAGCAACAUGUGCUGCGAGUUCUGGCAGUCUUUUUGAUGGUAACAAAUUUGACCUCGGAUCAGGCAAGGAUACCCGCUGAACUUAA
This 221-nucleotide unclassified non-coding RNA is filed under the name uncultured fungus. Its description in RNAcentral is "partial contains 5.8S ribosomal RNA, internal transcribed spacer 2, and large subunit ribosomal RNA". The stretch from base 1 to 52 matches the Rfam family "5.8S ribosomal RNA", at positions 103 to 154 of the family's 154-position model. Lineage: Eukaryota; Fungi. The record is from RNAcentral.